GGUCCCGUCGGUUAGAGGCCUAAGCCGCCGCGUUGUCAGCGCGGAGAUCAGGGGUUCGAAUCCCCUCGGGACCGCCA
This 77-nucleotide transfer RNA is filed under the name Sulfobacillus harzensis. Its description in RNAcentral is "Sulfobacillus sp. DSM 109850 tRNA-Asp". It matches the Rfam family "tRNA". Rfam says of the family: Transfer RNA (tRNA) molecules are approximately 80 nucleotides in length. Their secondary structure includes four short double-helical elements and three loops (D, anti-codon, and T loops). Lineage: Bacteria; Bacillati; Bacillota; Clostridia; Eubacteriales; Clostridiales Family XVII. Incertae Sedis. The record is from RNAcentral.